CCUACGGGAGGCAGCAGUGGGGGAUAUUGCACAAUGGGGGAAACCCUGAUGCAGCGACGCCGCGUGGGCGAUGAAGUAUUUCGGUAUGUAAAGCCCUAUCAUCAGGGAAGAAGAUAUGACGGUACCUGUGUAAGAAGCACCGGCUAAAUACGUGCCAGCAGCCGCGGUAAUACGUAUGGUGCAAGCGUUAUCCGGAGUUACUGGGUGUAAUGGGAGCGCAGGCGGCAGGGCAAGCCUGAUGUGAAAGCCCGCGUCCCAACCGCGGGACUGCCUUGGGAACUGCCGGGCUGGAGUGCAGGAGAGGUAGGCGGAAUUCCUAGUGUAGCGGUGAAAUGCGCAGAUAUUAGGAGGAACACCAGGGGCGAAGGCGGCUUACUGGACGGUGACUGACGCUGAGGCUCGAAAGCGUGGGGAGCAAACAGGAUUAGAUACCCGAGUAGUC
Molecule: ribosomal RNA, 442 nt
Filed under: uncultured bacterium
Lineage: Bacteria
Description: partial 16S ribosomal RNA
Rfam family: Bacterial small subunit ribosomal RNA
Source: RNAcentral